GCAAGUCGAAUGGGUUUAGACCCAUGGCAGACGAGGUAGUAACACGUAGGAUUACGUACCCUAAAGUCAAGGAUAACCUGGAGAAAUCCAGAAUAAUACUUGAUAGUCUCUUUAGUUUAUUCUAAGGAGUAAAGUUUUAACGCUUUAGGAACGGCCUGCGGAGUAUCAGCUUGUUGGUAGUGUAAAGGACUACCAAGGCUAUGACGCUUAGGGGAGGUGAGAGCCUGACC
RNAcentral lists this ribosomal RNA (230 nucleotides) under uncultured bacterium. RNAcentral's name for it is "partial 16S ribosomal RNA". It matches the Rfam family "Bacterial small subunit ribosomal RNA", at positions 57 to 305 of the family's 1533-position model. The record is from RNAcentral.